Molecule: long non-coding RNA, 5303 nt
Filed under: Ananas comosus (pineapple)
Lineage: Eukaryota; Viridiplantae; Streptophyta; Magnoliopsida; Poales; Bromeliaceae
Description: long non-coding RNA (ACOM_LNC017678)
Source: RNAcentral
CCUCCUGGUCCAGUAAAGAUGACUACUCCGGAGCUCAUCGUUCAAGGAGGAGCGACCUCACUUGAACCAAACAAAUGUGAGUAUGAUCUGAUCCUCCUUUAGAGGAUUCAACAAUAGACAAUGUCACACUUUAACUCUAACUAGCUCUUGAUGCUAGUUUCAUAAUUCCAAUGUCGAUGCUAACCAAAUCUCUAGUCAUAUGUCACCAAGUUCACUAUUAUUAUAGUCCAUACAUUCAUAGGGUUCUAUGUCCACAUUCUAAGGUUCACAAGUUCCUACUGUCGAUAGAAAUUCACAUUUUCACUUGCACAAUGCCAAUUACCCUAUAAUGCAUGACUAAACAAUUAUAAAUAUGCUCAAUGAAAUAUAAUAGACAUAAAAGGUGAUUCAAAGACUUCGGAUAGCACCACCCACCUGUAGGGAUGCUAACAAUUAGAACUCACGUCUCGGGCUGAAUCCACGAAGGUAUCACCCGACUAGAUGCAAAUAGAGCCCAAAUGGCUUCUAUCGUAGACAGCGCGUCGUCAACCUGUCGGAAGUCCAUUUAGACUUUCGGGUAUGAAUAACUUUUAUAUGUACAGUAACGGAAGAAAUUAAACUAGAGUCCUCGCUCAUAUUCUACAAGUUGGCAUUUCCAAACUAUAGAAUGUUGAUCAAAGUUGAUUUCAGCACUAAACUGAAUUCUAGGCCAUGCUGAAUUUUCAGCAUUAUAUCUCUUCUUCGAAUAACUAUUUAACCUCGAAGCUCAGCUGAGCUAUGAUCAAUUUCCAUGCUAAGUUAAUGUUGAAAUCAACUUCUUUUACCAUCAUUUCAGCAUAUACCAAUUAGCUCACUCUUAGUUCCAAUACUUAACAGAUUUCUAUAUUGAAAUCUGCUUCUUAUCAGCUCUAGACAGCAUAUAGUUCUCAACUUAAUUCAUUUUAAGUAAUUAGUUGGACUAUAAUCCAAUAAGGAAUAAACUUACUCUAACUUGCUGCUGAAUCAACUUGUUCCACGCAUCAAUUGGCCUUCUCUUCACUUCGGCCAGCAAUGACAACAAGACUUCAGCUCCGAUAGCCUAAAGUCUUAAGUUUGCUACUCCUUGACUAUGAAGUGCUCUCAGCUUCACACAGCUCCAAUUAACACUCCUCAGCUUCACACAGCUGAUCCCUGGAUUCGAGUAGGCUCCAACAACCAAACUUCGGCUUCAAUCUGAAAUUCCAGCAGCAAAUACUCAUUCCUUCUAAUAAUUCAGUCUCUACUUAAAUUCUUGCAUAUAGACAUACUACAUGUAACUCGUUUCUAAGGUAAGGAGCUUCAUAAUAAUCUAAUAUGGACCUAACUUACCUCAAUUCCAAACUCUCUCAGCUGAUUUCACAAACUUGGCAGCACUAACAAGCGCCCACGUCACUUCGGCCCCUAGCAGCAGCUCAAAAACAUAUAAGUAUUACCUCCAAGGUAAUUUCCUUAAUUCUAAUCAAAUAUUAGACUAAGAAUACCUCAACCAGAUGUUGAAUUUGCUUGCUCCCUGCAUCGAAUGGCCCAUUCCUGCAUUUCGGAUCAGCAGGCUUCAACUUCAGCAACUUUCUAUUCCUAGCAGUCAACAUCCUUUGGUAACUCCUCUUGAAGGUAAGUAACUUGGGUAGAAUCAAAUAUCAACUGAGACUUACCUUAAUUUAGAAACUUCUUCUAAUUAAUUCCAGCUGUAAAAGCCUUCCCUGCUGUCCCCAACAGCAAGAAACACUCAACUUCAAUCAACUCAAGAACACCUAAGCUGUCAGCUACAUAAGGACUAUAUAAGUAUCCUCUCUACAUGAUUAACUGAGCUAGAAAGAAGUACUAGUCAUAUUUACCUUGAUUAGAUGCCUUCUAAGUCUUGUAGUAACUUCAAUCAGCAAAAGUUUCUUGCUGGAAUCAAGUUUUCUUCUCAGCUCACAAAUCAUUCAAGCUGUUACUUCAACUUCUCCUUUUCUUAGCUUAGACAGAGAGAAGGAGCAGAGAAAAAAAUGAUAAGUAUGAAGGGAAAUGAACUCUCUGCCCCUGGACAUGUGUAUUCCACUCAGGGGAAAGGGAUAAGAGUGAAAAUUUGCACUUUAACCCUUUAAUUUCCAAAAACUGCAUUGCAGUCCAGGGUAGCCGCAAUUCUGUACCGGUACAGAUUCUUGUACCGGUACAAGAUGGCAGCAGCAGCAUCAGCAGCAGCAGCAUCAGCAGCUGCUUCACCCCCUCCUUCCUCUAAUCCAAUUCAUUCUAAUCUCAUUCAAACACCUCAAAAACAUUCCAAAUGAGCUUCUCAAGCUACCCAAUUAAUUUGGAAGCAUUAAAUUCUCCAUUUAACAUUAACUUGAUCAUUUUUUAUCAAGUUAACUCAAUAUUUCAGCAGCAGGUGUUCAAUCUCUUGUUUCUCUCAUGUAAUUCACUUGGAUCUUAUUCGGACACAUCCAAAAUCAUCCAAAGAAGCUUUCCAAGCCAUCAAGUUCAUUUGGAAGCAAUUCACAUCAAAUUUGGCAUCAAUUGGACCAUUUUUGACUAAUUGACCCAAAUUUUCAGCAUUAAGUAGGGUACUGUAAUGUGCUGCGGUCCGGCGGCCACGGCCCACAUUUUGCCCGGGGCGAAACGGGCCGCGGCCAGCCCGGCACGGCCCGGCUCCAAAAUCGGGCGUGCGUGCCGGCCAGACGUUUUGGACGCCGGCCUACGCGGGCCCCCCGGCCCGACCUGCACGGGGCCGUGCCGGCCCCGGGCACGGGCUUCGGCGCCAGCAGCUUUUUUAUUUUUAUUAAUUUUAUUUAUAAAUAUUUAAAUUCUUUUUAAAAAUAAAAUAAGAAUAUUAAUUUUUUAAAAAUAAAUAUCAGUACAAAAUUAAAAUUUAAAUCUAUUUAUAAAAUAUUAAACUUUUAAAUUAUUUUCACUUUUAAAAAUUUGGACCAAAAUACCCUCCCAAGCAGUCAAAUUCUUUAACUGUUUGGGAACGGGAAAAAAAACAAACCCCAUUUUUUAGUCCAAGCCCACUCCCAAUGCCACAGCCCAACUCUUUGACUUGUUGGGAGUCCCAAAGCCACAACCGCGCAUGGGAUUGGAGCUCCCAAGCAUUGGAGUUGUGCGCCUUGGAGUUGGAUGUACGCCAACUCCGCAAGGCCCUGCGACUCUGCUGGGCCCGGCUCGGAGGAGCCUGGCCACGGGCCGGCCUGCCGGCCGGGCCGGGCUGGACAGUCUAGGCCCGCACGGCCCAGGCGCUAUGUCGUGGCCGGCCGUGCCGGGCCAUCGGGCGCGGGGAGCAAGCCCAGCACGGCCUGAUAAACCUGGCGCGCCGGGCCGCAGCGGCACGUUACAGUACUCUUGCCGUGGCCUGGCCCGGCCACUCUCCGUGCCGGGCCGGGCGGCCGCGGCCGCCCGCCCGUUUGACACCCUAGAUUAAGGUAACUUGACAGUUGGACUUCUUUUGCCACUUCGAUCCAUUCUUAUUAUUCCCACACUUCAAAAUAUGUCAACAACUGAUACAUCGAUGAACUGCUAAUUAAAGUUUAAAUAGGCUUAAUUUGCAUUUUAGCAUUAUUGUGACCAUUUGAUCACAAUUAGCUCGAGAUAAAUUCUCAAUGCAUUUACAAUAAUAUAUAUAUAUAUAUGAUAUAUAUAUAAGUAUAUUAUAUAUUAUAUAUAUAUAUAAAUAUAUAUAUAUAAUAUAAUAUAUAUAUAUAAAUUACCUAUACAUUAAUUAUCAUGAUAAAAACUAUAUGUACCACUCCCUUUAAUUUGAGGAGGAGUGAGGCCCACUUUUUUCUUUUUUCUUUUUUUUUUUUUUACUUUUUCUCCUUUUCUUUAGAUUUACUAGGCCUAAAGAGUUUUUUUUCUCCCUUUUCUUUACCUUUUGGUCUUCCACCCUCUCGCUUAAAUUUGCAAAUUCGAAUUUUGUUAUGUUUCAAUUCGGAGUCAAUUAUUGAUUAAAAGUGAUAUAUAUAUAAUUUAUAUAUAUAUAUAUAUAUAUAUAUAUAUAUAUAUAUAUAAUAUAAUAUAUAUAUAUAUAUUCGGUUGCCGACAGACACUUUUCCGGCAUCCGGCACCUCCGGCCACCUCCCGUUGGUGGGCACAACAUCUCUGAGCAUCUGUGCUGGUCCGUACUCCCCCAAAUUUCAGGUAUCUGUGUCCUGAACUGCUGUUUGCAUCAGUGCCCGCCAUGUGUUCGGUAAAUUGACCAUUUCUUGUUUUGGCUUUAUGGUCGAAAAUGGGAGUUCUUAGGAGCGUUGCAAUCGUGAGGAAAUUCCCUACACGAUGCUCACCUUGUUGACGUGAUUCUUACGCUCGGUGGAAGCCCGAACCUACGAUGUACUCGAAAUCGGCUCCGCGCGGCCAAUUUUCGCUCUCCGACGGUCGGCGAUCAUUUGGGUGAAUACUUUGUGGGUUCGCUGCAGCCAGAGGAGUGCUGACAAACCCCGUGAACUGCUGCUCCACUUCAGAUUGUGGAAGUUUGGUAAAUUGUUCAAAAUCUCCUUUUUAUUACUUUAUUGCGUGCUAUGUGCGGUGACAUUAUGUAUGCGGCUUUUCGACGUUUUUCACGUCGCGUAGAGUGUUGAACAGUGGUGUUUAGUAGACGUGGUUAUUCGGACUUGUGGUCCGAGGUUCUAAAACCGUAUUUAUUUUAAAAUUAGGAUACAAAAUUAAUUCGUAUUAUACCUGUACCGAAUUUUUGCCGAACCCGAAUUAACUAACUAUGGUUUAUAGUUGCAUUGUUGCUAAUGCUAGUUCAUAUUCAUACGAGCCUACUAGUAUAUAUUAUUUUUCGAACAAUAUCUGAAUAUGCAUCUGCGUCAUAUAUGAAUUCGAAAAAAUAUCCGACCAUGUCUAAAAUACUAUAUAUAAUAAAUUAAUAUAUAUUUAUAAAUAAAUAUAUAUAUAUAUAUAAAUAUAUAUAUAUAUAUAUAUAUAUAUAGGCCAUGGCUACUAUACUAUUAUGAGUAUUGGAGCGCUCGUACUCAUAAGUUGUUUUCAAUGAUGGAGCUUCCAAAUCGACAAUCCACUCCGUUAAAUAUGAUCUAGAGUAUUUGAAACUUUUAGAAAAUAACUUUCGUAAAUUUUCGAAAUCAUAAUAAAGUCCAUCAAGUGGGCAUAAAAUGAACGGUCAAAAUCGAACGACGUCCCAAACAAAGAUGAUCGGAUCCUUUAAUUCAAGAUCGGAGUUAUUGAUCUUUAUCUAUGUAGUGAAUAGAAUUUUCUAUCAAAAAUUCAACAAAUUCCGAUUCUUUUACACCGUUAAACUAGCAAGUAUCCCAUACCGGCCGUUAAAAAUUGUCAAAUUUGUGACCUCUUGAUCGUAAGAUAAAUGAUGUCGA